Molecule: transfer RNA, 85 nt
Organism: Felis catus (domestic cat)
Lineage: Eukaryota; Metazoa; Chordata; Mammalia; Carnivora; Felidae
Rfam family: tRNA
About the family: Transfer RNA (tRNA) molecules are approximately 80 nucleotides in length. Their secondary structure includes four short double-helical elements and three loops (D, anti-codon, and T loops).
Source: Rfam
GCCCGGGUGGCUCAGUCGGUUAAGCGUCCGACUUCAGCUCAGGUCAUGAUGUCGUGGUCCGUGGGUUCAAGCCCCGCGUCGGGCU